Molecule: long non-coding RNA, 493 nt
Organism: Vigna radiata var. radiata (mung bean)
Lineage: Eukaryota; Viridiplantae; Streptophyta; Magnoliopsida; Fabales; Fabaceae
Exons: 3
Source: RefSeq, a predicted model, not a curated record
UUCUACGUUUCUCUCCUUCCUUGCCUUGCCACCCCUUCCAUCUCAACUCAGAUUCUAACCGUUAGUUUCUCAAAUUGAAGCUACAUAAGCAUUCAGGACUCCAAGAGCUACGUUUCUACCGAUUGAUUUUCCGUUUCAUCCAACCGGUGAUUCUCACACUUUGGGUUCAAAGUACUUGGUCUAUGAUCAUUCCUUGAGUUGGCCGUGCACCCUAGAGUAGGUGAUGAGGUACCCUUGGAGCAGGCAUGGGAGACUGAGGAAGAUUCAGCCCCUAGUACUUAGGGCGUUUAUUAGUUCUUAUUUCUAUAGCUUGUUAAUUUUUGGAAACACUCUCUAGGCAUCCUUCGAUCUUUAGUUUAUUUUGUAUUUUGGAGAACUUUGGGGAACUUGUACUCAAGUUUUAUUUCGUUUUAAUUUCCACUAAAUUUCGGAUGACUGUAUAAAUAUUUAAAUACUGUCAUCUUUAUUUCUUAACUGCUUUCACAUAUUGUCA